AUUGAACGCUGGCGGCAUGCCUAACACAUGCAAGUCGAGCGGUUGAAGGGAGCUUGCUCCUGGAUUCAGCGGCGGGCGGGUGUGUAAUGCCUAGGAAUCUGCCUGGUAGUGGGGUAUAACAUCCGCAAACGGGCGCUAAUACCGCAUACUUUCUGAGGGAGAGAGUGGGGGAUCUUCGGACCGUACGCUAUCGGGUGAGCCUAGGUCGGAUUAGCUAGUUGGUGGGGUGAAGGCCUACCAAGGCGACGAUCCGUAACUGGUCUGAGAGGAUGAGCAGCCACACUGGAACUGAGACACGGCCCAGACUCCUACGGGAGGCAGCAGUGGGGAAGAUUGGACAAUGGGCGAAAGCCUGAUCCAGCCAUGCCGCGUGUGUGAAGAAGGUCUUCGGAUUGUAAAGCACUUUAAGUUGGGAGGAAGGGCAGUAAGUUAAUACCUUGCUGUUUUGACGUUACCAACAGAAUAAGCACCGGCUAACUACGUG
RNAcentral lists this ribosomal RNA (484 nucleotides) under uncultured bacterium. Its description in RNAcentral is "partial 16S ribosomal RNA". It matches the Rfam family "Bacterial small subunit ribosomal RNA", at positions 30 to 507 of the family's 1533-position model. The record is from RNAcentral.